UCAGUAACACGUAGUCAACCUGCCCUGGAGACAUGGACAACCCCGGGAAACUGGGAUUAAUCCGUGAUAGGUCAUCUCAUCUGGAAGGAGAGAUGGCUUAAAGGGGUGCGCGGGCUUCUUCUGCGCAUUCGCUCUAGGAUGGGACUGCGUCCGAUCAGGCUGUUGGCGGGGUAAUGGCCCACCAAACCUGUAACCGGUACGGGCCUUGAGAGAGGUGGCCCGGAGAUGGACACUGAGAGAAGGGUCCAGGUCCUACGGGGCGCAGCAGGCGCGAAACCUUCGCAAUGCGCGAAAGCGUGACGAGGUUAAUCCGAGUGGUCCCCGCUGAGGGGAUCUUUUGUCAGCUGUAAAUAGGCAGGCGAAUAAGGGGAGGGCAAGCCUGGUGCCA
Molecule: ribosomal RNA, 388 nt
Filed under: unidentified archaeon
Lineage: Archaea
Description: bacterial SSU rRNA
Rfam family: Archaeal small subunit ribosomal RNA
Source: RNAcentral